RNAcentral lists this ribosomal RNA (497 nucleotides) under uncultured bacterium. RNAcentral describes it as "partial 16S ribosomal RNA". It matches the Rfam family "Bacterial small subunit ribosomal RNA", at positions 28 to 507 of the family's 1533-position model. The record is from RNAcentral.
GAUGAACGCUGGCGGCGUGCCUAAUACAUGCAAGUCGAGCGAACGGACGAGAAGCUUGCUUCUCUGAUGUUAGCGGCGGAAGGGUGAGUAAAACGUGGAUAACCUACCUAUAAGACUGGGAUAACUUCGGGAAACCGGAGCUAAUACCGGAUAAUAUUUUGAACCGCAUGGUUCAAAAGUGAAAGAUGGUCUUGCUGUUACUUAUAGAUGGAUCCACGCUGCAUUGGCUAGUUGGUAAGGUAACGGCUUACCAAGGCAACGAUGCAUAGCCGACCUGAGAGGGUGAUCGGCCACACUGGGACUGAGACACGGUCCAGACUCCUACGGGAGGCAGCAGUAGGGAAUCUUCCGCAAUGGGCGAAAGCCUGACGGAGCAACGCCGCGUGAUUGAUGAAGGUCUUCGGAUCGUAAAACUCUGUUAUUAGGGAAGAACAUAUGUGUAAGUAACUGUGCACAUCUUGACGGUACCUAAUCAGAAAGCCACGGCUAACUACGUG